RNAcentral lists this ribosomal RNA (305 nucleotides) under uncultured bacterium. RNAcentral describes it as "bacterial SSU rRNA". It matches the Rfam family "Bacterial small subunit ribosomal RNA", at positions 337 to 634 of the family's 1533-position model. The record is from RNAcentral.
GCCUACGGGGGGCAGCAGUAGGGAAUCUUCCACAAGGGGCGGAAGCCUGAUGGAGCAACGCCGCGUGGGUGAAGAAGGUCUUCGGAUCGUAAAACCCUGUUGUUAGAGAAGAAAGUGCGUGAGAGUAACUGUUCACGUUUCGACGGUAUCUAACCAGAAAGCCACGGCUAACUACGUGCCAGCAGCCGCGGUAAUACGUAGGUGGCAAGCGUUAUCCGGAUUUAUUGGGCGUAAAGGGAACGCAGGCGGUCUUUUAAGUCUGAUGUGAAAGCCUUCGGCUUAACCGGAGUAGUGCAUUGGAAACU